This 74-nucleotide transfer RNA is filed under the name Magnetovibrio sp. RNAcentral describes it as "tRNA-Ile". It matches the Rfam family "tRNA". From Rfam's summary of the family: Transfer RNA (tRNA) molecules are approximately 80 nucleotides in length. Their secondary structure includes four short double-helical elements and three loops (D, anti-codon, and T loops). Further hydrogen bonds mediate the characteristic L-shaped molecular structure. tRNAs have two regions of fundamental functional importance: the anti-codon, which is responsible for specific mRNA codon recognition, and the 3' end, to which the tRNAs corresponding amino acid is attached (by aminoacyl-tRNA synthetases). tRNAs cope with the degeneracy of the genetic code in two manners: having more than one tRNA (with a specific anti-codon) for a particular amino acid; and 'wobble' base-pairing, i.e. permitting non-standard base-pairing at the 3rd anti-codon position. The record is from RNAcentral. Lineage: Bacteria; Pseudomonadati; Pseudomonadota; Alphaproteobacteria; Rhodospirillales; Magnetovibrionaceae.
GGUCCAUUAGCUCAGGUGGUUAGAGCGGCGUGCUAAUAACGCGCAGGUCGCAAGUUCAAAUCUUGCAUGGACCA